UGACUGCAAAGCAACAUCAACAUGUAGAAUAGAGAUAAUAAGUUUAGAAUCUCGCGAAUGCAAAGCCACAUCAAUAUGUAGAGUAGAGACAAUUUAGAAUCUGUUAACUUGGUAUAAACAUAACAAAGGAUCCAUACUCACAGAAACUAAAGAAGAUACACUUCAAUCAAGUGACUUCUGGAUGAAUGACUCAGGGCCAUGACCAAGCAGUAUGCUAUCAUUAGAAAAAGAAGAAAGAAAGCAUUUAUCUACAACAGAAGAGAAAUUGUUAGAUCACGGUGGUCAGCCUUCAGACCAACUCCGACCGUUCAGCAAGUAACAAUGCCUCAAGUUCUUCUCUCCGUUUCUCCAACUCCUGAAACACCAUACGAAUUGAGAAAAUGAGGAAAGAUGAGCUGGCAGUAACAAUAUACAGACCCAAAAAAUAUGCAUGUGCUAUUUAUAGGCUGCACCCUGAACCUCGAAACUAAGUGGAGCGGUUUUGGCAAUACUCUAUCCAAUGGACUUUGUUGGCUAUGAUCAACAAAAUAAUAAUGGUCUGUGGCACCAUUAUCGUUCUUGCAGGUUGUGCAUACUCUCUUUUAGAAACCAAAUAUAGUUCUCCUAUUAGCACAUAUUAUACUUGAUGCAAUAUGGCCCAGGAUAAUUAUAACAUAGCAUUCUAAAUUCAACACGCAUAAACACUGCAGAACUGGGUGAUCAUUUUGGGUUAAAGAGGGGCACCAUUUUUGUAAGCCAGAUUUUUAUAUUUCUAUUUUCUAAUGAGCUACACCGCAUGAACUAUACAGGGGAAGCAAAACAAGCAGGGCUGCAGGAAAAGAAUAAUCUUAUGACACAGUAACUGAAAGAGGAAUAAUUGAACUACUGAAGAAGAAACUGAGCAACAGUGAGUAAAUUUAGGCACAAGCCACAGAAAGGGUAUCUUAAAGACCGAAAAGACAAUAGCUCAAAACAAAGAAAUAUCCAAUCAAAGGAUUCCAUGAUGUCACAUUUGAAGUAUGAACCAAGUACUUACUUGCAGAUCUUUGGCUGCUUGCUCCCGUGAUAUUGCUUUCUGCUGCCUAGAACGUUUUAGCACACCAAUGCACAAUAUCCCCUAUAUAUUCAAAGUUUUUUAGUUAAAUACAUUUGUUAAGAUGUAAUAAGAGAAGGCAAUGUUGACUGUUU
This 1167-nucleotide long non-coding RNA is filed under the name Zea mays. RNAcentral's name for it is "long non-coding RNA (ZMAY_LNC003817)". The record is from RNAcentral. Lineage: Eukaryota; Viridiplantae; Streptophyta; Magnoliopsida; Poales; Poaceae.